CAGCAAGUCUUCCAGCGUGGGGGGGCCUGCUGUGGCCCUCGCUAUUCCUACAGCACUUGCCAGAGCAGCCCUGGGACGGUUUGAGGCCUCUCCCUGCCCUCACCAGGGAGGGGUUAUAGACAUCCCAGACACCU
Small nucleolar RNA from Colius striatus (speckled mousebird), 134 nucleotides. RefSeq annotates it as small nucleolar RNA SNORA9. The record is from RefSeq and is a predicted model, not a curated record. Lineage: Eukaryota; Metazoa; Chordata; Aves; Coliiformes; Coliidae. The transcript has a single exon.